Molecule: transfer RNA, 73 nt
Filed under: Penicillium digitatum PHI26
Lineage: Eukaryota; Fungi; Ascomycota; Eurotiomycetes; Eurotiales; Aspergillaceae
Also listed under: 1 other name
Description: tRNA-Gln (TTG) (tRNA-Gln-TTG-2-1, tRNA-Gln-TTG-2-2)
Rfam family: tRNA
About the family: Transfer RNA (tRNA) molecules are approximately 80 nucleotides in length. Their secondary structure includes four short double-helical elements and three loops (D, anti-codon, and T loops).
Source: RNAcentral
GGUUCUAUGGUCUAGCGGUUUAGGACUCCAGAUUUUGAUUCUGGCAACCCCGGUUCGAUCCCGGGUAGGACCU